RNAcentral lists this ribosomal RNA (253 nucleotides) under uncultured bacterium. RNAcentral's name for it is "partial 16S ribosomal RNA". It matches the Rfam family "Bacterial small subunit ribosomal RNA", at positions 524 to 776 of the family's 1533-position model. The record is from RNAcentral.
UACGUAGGGGGCGAGCGUUGUCCGGAAUCAUUGGGCGUAAAGCGCGUGUAGGCGGCCCGGUAAGUCCGCUGUGAAAGUCCAGGGCUCAACCCUGGGAUGCCGGUGGAUACUGUCGGGCUCGAGUCCGGAAGAGGCGAGUGGAAUUCCAGGUGUAGCGGUGAAAUGCGUAGAUAUCUGGAGGAAUACCGGUGGCGAAGGCGGCAUCCUGGACCGACAUUGACGCUGAGGAGCGAAAGCUAGGGGAGCAAACGGG